Molecule: ribosomal RNA, 406 nt
Filed under: uncultured bacterium
Lineage: Bacteria
Description: partial 16S ribosomal RNA
Rfam family: Bacterial small subunit ribosomal RNA
Source: RNAcentral
AUUGAACGCUGGCGGCAGGCCUAACACAUGCAAGUCGGACGAGUGGCGGACGGGUGAGUAAUGCAUGGGGAUCUGCCUGAUGGAGGGGGAUAACUACUGGAAACGGUAGCUAAUACCGCAUACCAUCAGAUGAGCCCAAAUGGGAUUAGCUUGUAGGUGAGGUAACGGCUCACCUAGGAGACGCUCCCUAGAUGGUCUGAGAGGAUGAACAGCCACACGGGGACUGAGACACGGCCCAGACUUCUACGUGAGGCAGCAGUGGGGAAUAUUGCACAAUGGGCGCAAGCCUGAUGCAGCCAUGCCGCGUGUAUGAAGAAGGCCUUCGGGUUGUAAAGUACUUUCAGUCGGGAGGCGUUACCGACAGAAGAAGCACCGGCUAACUCCGUGCCAGCAGCCGCGGUAAUUC